AUUGAACGCUGGCGGCAGGCUUAACACAUGCAAGUCGAGCGGGGUGAUGGUGCUUGCACUAUCACUCAGCGGCGGACGGGUGAGUAAUGCUUAGGAAUCUGCCUAUUAGUGGGGGACAACAUCUCGAAAGGGAUGCUAAUACCGCAUACGUCCUACGGGAGAAAGCAGGGGAUCACUUGUGACCUUGCGCUAAUAGAUGAGCCUAAGUCGGAUUAGCUAGUUGGUGGGGUAAAGGCCUACCAAGGCGACGAUCUGUAGCGGGUCUGAGAGGAUGAUCCGCCACACUGGGACUGAGACACGGCCCAGACUCCUACGGGAGGCAGCAGUGGGGAAUAUUGGACAAUGGGGGGAUCCCUGAUCCAGCCAUGCCGCGUGUGUGAAGAAGGCCUUAUGGUUGUAAAGCACUUUAAGCGAGGAGGAGGCUACUCUAGUUAAUACCUAGGGAUAGUGGACGUUACUCGCAGAAUAAGCACCGGCUAACUCUGUGCCAGCCGCCGCCGUAA
RNAcentral lists this ribosomal RNA (503 nucleotides) under uncultured bacterium. Its description in RNAcentral is "partial 16S ribosomal RNA". It matches the Rfam family "Bacterial small subunit ribosomal RNA", at positions 30 to 523 of the family's 1533-position model. The record is from RNAcentral.